Molecule: unclassified non-coding RNA, 12153 nt
Organism: Acanthaster planci (crown-of-thorns starfish)
Lineage: Eukaryota; Metazoa; Echinodermata; Asteroidea; Valvatida; Acanthasteridae
Source: RefSeq, a predicted model, not a curated record
AAACACACAUAUCCACACACGUGUGCGUACCGAUCUCUUUACCCUUAUUCACAUUAUGCACGUCCUGAUGCACGAACUAAACUGCAGGUGCCAGGAUAGGAUGAGGUCAUGUUUGCCGAAGCGUCUCUGUACGUAAAAACGUGUACAGAGUAAAAUCUGAGCGGACGUGUUUUGUAAUGGCGACACAUUCAUGCUAUAGUAAACGCAUCCUGGUAAUCCGCUUCAUCGAGUGCCGUACUUCUACUCCAAGAAAUAAGUUCGUCUGUAAUAGCUGAAGUGGUAAUAUGUUUUCAGGGCAAGAUGCCGGUCCUCCGGGCCAGUGGGAAACCAAGCAAAUUCUAAAGUGGAUGCAGGGAGACGACGAAUGCAGGGAGGAAAUCAAAAAUCGGAUCAUGAAUGUCAUACGAACGAACGAUUUGGACGGGCACACGUUGAAGCAACUGGCCGCCGAAAAAGAUGAAAUACAAGAUCUUUUUCCCGCGCUCAAAGAUAGACUUGCCUUUAAGUCAUUACUACGGAAACUCUUCAAGGAAGGAAAGCCAGUGUUGUGGGCAGAGUCAUCUACCACUCAGAAACAGCCGCCGUUGUCCCAGCUAAAUACAAGCCCAUCAAGCUCACAUAGGGGUCACCAGUUCACUGCUGGCCCACCUCAUUUUCCUGACGUAAAUCCUGGGCCUACUCAUUUCCUUCGCAAGGACAGUUUCCUAGUUAAUACAUGUACUACGCAGCGCUUGGCUGUACUGGAUGUGAACCAUCGACCGGCGGAGAAUAGGCCAGGGAUGACCAUGCAUUUCAGUACAGUCACGCCGUCAGAAGUACCAUCGGUGCAUAAGUCAAACGAGUUCGAACCAAUCAACACUACGGCACCAAUUCCUUACGAAAUGCAACAAACUGUGCAUUCAAGCAAGCACGCCAAUACAACCACGCCAAUUUACUGUCACCCCACAAAAACUGGGCUUGGCUCUGAUCAGCCUGAAAAGCACUCGGUUAGCCAAACUACGACCCUGACACCUGUCACGCUAUCUGCCAUACCAUCCCUCUGUCAGCCUGCUAAUCAGACUGACUUAUUAGUCUCAAACGCGACACAGCCAUCUCCAGGACCACAGAUAUCAUCCGUCACAUCAUACGCGGUCAGAGACAAAACCACAAAGAAUCUGCUCUCCAUUCACAACCCAAGCACUAAUCGGACACCGCAUGAUCUGACAGUACAAACAGCCUCAACAGAUCCACUGGCAUCCAUGUUGACUCACCACGCAAGGAGCAUAAACUACCCAGCACCCCUCCCUAGAUUUCCAUUUGACCUGGAUAAGACGUUGAGGUCAUGUGCGGGAGGCGUGGCUAUGUCUGUGCGUAGGAGGGUCAUUCGAGAAUCCGCUCGUUUUUAUGUCAGCAUCACCAAGGGACGAAAGAUUAGUUCCAGUGAUUAUGUCAACAUUGGACGUACAAUAAUUGGAAAAUACCCUGGGCUUGCUUAUGAAGAUGACUAUAUACCAUGGGUAUUAUGACAAACUUCCCAAUUUUGGUUUGGUUUUCCUUUGUUAGCCUGUAGGCCUAUACUGAAUGUUUUCAAUUCCAUUACAGUUUGAUACGGAGGGUGACGACUGAGAAAGAACGAGCUUCGACUUUUGAUGAAUAACACCUCAUACAUGCACUUGUGACAUUUACAUAUUAUUUACUGGGGACAAAAUAACAUGUUUGAAACAAACAAACAAACAAACAAACAAACACCCCAACAAACAAACAACCCAACAACCAACAAACAAGCAAACAAACAAAGUUUUUAAUUUAAAUUUUGUUUUAUCGAAGUCUUUCCAAAUGAAACUAGAAGCCACUCGAGCUUAGACUUGGAGUAUACUGAAAAGAAGGGGGAAAUAAGCAAAUAAUUGAACAUUAUUAAUGACAGUGCGUUGCCAUUCGAGUAGGGCCAACUGCGAUCAGAUGAGCUGGAUUUAAUUACAGUAAUAUUUAUGUGAGAUACUGGCUAACGAUCCCUCGGUCAGAGAAUGUGGGCUGGUGAAAAUGUAUACAAAUAAAGGCGGUGAAAUUUUACAUUCAACAAGCGCUUAAGCCAAUCCAUCCGGAACCUCCGUCGACGUCUCAAACAAACCAACGACAAGUCGAUGUACGACUAUCUGGACUCUAUGGAGGGUCCCCUGCCUGUCCAAGUCAUCGCGUUGGAUGACGGAGAGGACUCUGAGGAUGGCAAGGGUGUGGACGAUGUGAUUGAAGACGAAGGGGGAUACGGAGAAGGGGAGAUUAUUCUCAUCAAAGAUGAGACACAAGCAUGACUCAAGACAAGUAGCUAUGAAGAAGUGCUUAAUUUGUAAUUUUUUUUCACUCAACUGUUAAAAAUGGUUCUGGGCGUCAGUCACUGCACCAACCAGAACUACUGUCAUCCACGCCGCUUGACAAGCAGUCACGCCUUUGCUCGUCGCACAGCAUCACAUGUCAUUUCCGUAGCUAGGGCAUUUCCCAAGGAGCAACCAUUUUCACAAACAGCUUUAUCUGUCCUUGGUUGCUGGCAAUUAUCACUGCUAAGUCGUUGCGCCUUUUUACCUAUGUUUGUACAUGUACAGAGGAUAUGCCGGCAGCAUUUCUUCCGCAGGGAUACCCAUGAGUAGACCUUUUCUUUAAAGUCCCCCUAACAAACGCACUGACAGGGGAAAUGACUGUCGUGCAUAAGCUCUAUAUUCACGCUGCUGAUACCAAUUAACCAUUCUGUAGUAGUAGGGAACGGUAUUUUCCAGACAAGACAUUCCUUCCCAUUCUCAGGCCAGGAGGAACCAGCAGGGGCCUUCCCCAAUCUAAGGAAUUCCCCCAAAUGCUUGCGGCCGCACACAAAAUUUAGACACAACUUACGGGACAAAAGGGACUUUCCAAAACUCGUGACCUAAAAGGGACUUGCCCCUUUUCACGAGACCUUUGACCUUCAAAACCUAAAAAAGGAACUGUUCCGCUAACUCAUGACUUCCUCGUGAUUCCCAAACACAAAAGCGGAAUCCCGCCCCCCCGACUUUCCACUUUCGGAAAAAGUAGCUCUACACCGAACGCUCCGAGAAAAAAUGAAAUAAAUUUUUAAAAUGUAUAUAUAAAUAGAGAUAUGAAUAGAGAAACCAACCCGCAACGCUGCCCUGUCUUAGCGGUCUUUAGGCGAGUGAAAAAAUCGUUUCUAGCUGACUUUGUCAAACGAUAUAACAUUACAUUACCGCCACCCGCUAAAAAAAGUCAUUCAAAGCCCGAGCUCAUGAAAGCGAUUCAAGAGAGUCAAUGGCAAUUUAGAAAUCUCACGAGACAAUCAUAUCGUCAGCUUUUAAAAAUAGCGCAAGACAACAACAUAGAAUAUACGGCCUCGGGGACAAAAGGAAAAAUAUUGCGAACAGACUUGGUCACCGCGAUUAAAGCAUACAUUAAGCCGCAGGCAAUUGAAGAAGUAGACAUUUGAAGAAUUAGGCAAUUUAGAGGCAACUAUAGAGAUUGGGAACUGAUACGUAAUUUCUUUGCCGACGACUUGAUUCACUUUUUUGAUUUUUACAAAAAGUACAUCGAAGACAAAGCACUAGCCGAGUUUAAAGAAAUCGGUUCAUACAAGUUACAAACGGGAAUAAAUGUUCAAUUCAAAAUGGAAAAGCCCGGAAUCGAGACUAAACUCGGCGUUUUACAUUUACUAGUAAAAACAACGCGGUCUUUUUUCUAAACAAACAAUUAAAGAAUCGUUAAACCAGCAAAUUGCAAAACGUCUAGAGGACGCGGAAGCUCAUGAACAGAGAGGAUCUGGCUGGAUGUUUGCUAAAGUAGUCGCGUUUUACAUAAACGUGGUUAAAUAUAAUCCAGUCAGGGCUACUUACAUUCCGUGGCCAAAAUAUUUGGCAGUAAAAACUGCAAUGAUCAACGUUCAAAACAAAGAAGAUUAAGAAUGUAUUCGCUGGGCGUUGAGAGCUGCUUUGAAGUUAUAUUCAGAUUACGUAAAGCAUCAGUUGGAAAUCAAUCCAGAUUAUAAAAUACACGAGGAGCGCACCUCGACUUACACGACAGCUGACGACUUAAAUUUCGCAAAUGUAUACUUUCCAACAACCGUGUAACAAAUUCCACGCAUCGAAUCGCAGAAUAACUUGGCAAUUAACAUAUUGGUUAUACAGAGAAAGAAGGCACUUACGUGCUUUACAAAACUAAACGCGCUGACGAGCCAAUUAAUUUACUGUAUUUUACUAAAGGCGAAACGAGUCAUUAUUGCUGGAUCAAGAGCUUUUCUCAAUUAAUGUGCGACGCUACUGAACACACAGCGAAAUUACACUGGUGUUUCAAAUGGCUGUCUCACUUUCAAACGCAAGAAAGACUAGACAGGCACCAUAUAGACUGUAAAGGGAUUAACACAGCAGCGUGUAAAGUGGAACUACCAGCCAAAGGCAAAAUAUUCUCAAACUUGAAAACUAUAAAAACAAGCAGGAUGCCCCCCUUCGUAAUCUACGCAGAUUUCGAAUUUGUUUUGGAGCGUUUGCCACCAAAAGAAUUAAACACGGUUAAAACACAAGUUCAUAAACCAUUCGGGUAUUCAUAUGCAGUUGUCAGAUGUGACGGCAUUUGUACCAGUCGCGAGACCUACAGAGGCCCCGACGCGGCCUUUACAUUUGUAGAAUCGUUGUCUAGAGAGGUCGCCGAGAUCUAGUCUGGUCGCACGAGUUGCAAAAGAUCUACGAAAACUGUAACGCUACUGGAUCUGCGAAAGACGCAUCGUUUCAACCAAAGAAUCACAAUGCCGGUGUCAAGUCCCGGAUGAGCCGAAACCAAAGAGCGAAAAAGCCGCUUUUAGUUCAGUAAACGAACGAGGUUUCAGAGACUACAUUUGUAUGACUUGUGAAAAGCCCAUCAAUAAAUUUUGCAAUUGUAAUGUCAAGUUACGAGUAGUGCCUGGUCAAACAUGUGUUUCCGUAGUGCUGCACAACUUGGAAAAAUACGACGCGCAUUUAAUUAUGCAGGGUGCUCAAGCGUUUGACGACAGUAAAAUUAAAGUCAUCGCCAAAAACACCGAAAAUUAUACCUCGUUUAGCUUUGAUCAACUCAGGUUCCUAGACUCGUUUCAUUUCAUGGCAGCCUCACUCAAUCGAUUGGAUUAAAAAUUGUUUGCUCAAAGAUAUCCGCCUGCUCUUUGACGGGUUUCCAGAAAACAGGGGUUUACUUUUAGGAAAGGAAAUUUACCCAUACGAGUAUAUCGACUCGUUUGAUAGAUUUGAACAGACAAGCCUGCCUCCUCGAGCUGCUUUUUAUAGCUCGUUGAGGCAGCAGUCCGUUGCAGAAUGAGACUACACAAGGGCUCAAAAUGUGUGGCAAGCUUUCGGUUGUCAAAAUAUCGGGAUUAUCACGAUUUAAACGUCGAGACAGACGUAUUGUUACUAGCAGGCGUAUUUGAAAACGUUCGCCAAGUUUGCAAAAACCAUUACGGUUUGGACCCGGCCAAUUAUUAUAAUUCGACUGGAUAAUCGUGGGAUGCAUUUUUAAAGCACUCUGGCAUCGAAUUGGAGCUUUUGACCAACUUUGAAAAGCACCUGUUUUUCGAAAGGGCCAAAAGAGGCGGCAUUUCGAGCGUAGAGGCUAAGCGCUAUGCCAAAGCAAUAAUCCCGAAUUAAAAGACUACGAUCCAAAUAAGCCAACGUCACAUAUAAUGUAUUUGGACGCGAAUAAUUUAAACAGCUGGGCUCUGAUGAGUCGUUACCCUUUAAACUUUUUCGAUGGAUUCAAGACGUAACAAAAUUUACCCCAGAGUACAUUUCGAAAAUUUCCCCCAAAGCGUCUAAAGGCUACAUGCUAGAAGUGACUUUGGACUAUCCAAAACACUUACACGACAAACACAACGAUUUCCCACUGGCACCUGAAAACAUCUCGAUCCCCAACGACUGGUUCUCAGUGUAUCAAAAAGACUUGAUAGCCAACGGUGAGCGAGUUACUUCGAUAGGCAAGCUCGUAUCCACUUUGAGCACCAAACACAAAUACGUAGAGCACUAUCGCACGUCACAAAAAUAUCUGGAACUCGGUCUAGAAUUAAAACAAGUUCACCGAGCAAUGUCGUUAAACAGGCGCCUUGGAUGAAAAGUUAUAUCGAUAGAAAUACCGAGAUGCGUAAAUUAGCCAAGUCUGAUUUUGAAAAGGACUUUUUCAAAUUCAUGAAUAACUCGGUCUAAGGCAAGACGAUGGAAAAUGUGCGUUACCGCAUGGACGGGCAUUUACUGAGAGACCUUCACGACGCUGACAAAUACAAGAAGCUAACUCUUAAACCAAAUUAUAAAGCGACUACGCCGUUUAAGGAAUGUGAUCUUUCAUUUGUCGAAGUGUUUCGCAUAAAAACAAAGUUAAAUAAGCCAAUCUAUUGCGGUGUAAGCGUGCUAGACUUGUCCAAGACUUUAAUGUACGAUUUUAUUACAAUACGUUAAAAGCGGCUUUCGGUUCAAACGUCUGUUUAUUAUACACUGACACGGACAGCCUGCUCGUUCAAAAGUACGUGCGCAAAAAGCGCAAGUUGUUUGACUUAAGCAAUUAUCCAACGGAUCACCGGCAAGAUGAAAGACGAAUUUGGAGGUGAACUGAUAUCAGAAGCAAUCUGCAUUAGGCCAAAAAUGUAUUCGAUUUUAACCGAGCACCAAAAUUUGAAAAAGGCUUAAAGAGUUACAAAAAUCGUAACGCAAAAACGGUUGUCGUACGAACACCGUAUUUGAAAAAAUGCAGCAUUUUAAUAAACAGCAGCUUUUCAGGUCUGAUUAGCAUCUGCUAUUCACGGUGUCGCAAAAAAUAAAAGUCUUUCGGCCCUUGGACACAAAGCGUUAUGUAUUACCAGACGAAAUUGGCACUUUAGCUUAUGGACAUUAUCAAGCCUUUCAAGCCGGCAGUAAUUCGGUGUCUUCGGGUAUCACUUGAAGUUCCUCUCUCACGAAACUUCGCUUUGGACCGUCUAAUAAGUAGGACCCGUUUUCACGCGCUUGCCAUUGACCCGUUUAAAUUGACUCUUGCGUUUCUCAAUUUGAUAAACGUUUACAGACCAGACUGGAUCGGUAGCCUUUUGACGGUACCGCCUUCUUGCUUGCCUGGAUAAGAUAAAUAUCUAACUAACACGUCUGGGGGAAGUUCUUUUUGGGUUUCCCUAAGAGGUGCUGCAGGCGUUUGUUUCACUCGAUUCAACUUGACGGCUUCUGCGGGUUCUUUGUCAAUUAACUGAGUUUUUUCCUUGUUAAGUGAUUUUAUUACUUGAGGCAGGCGUUUCACCCAUUCCACGUUUCUAACACCAACGUUUAACAUUUCUUGCGCGUAUUGAUUGCCAAAUAAACGCUCGGCUAAAGUGGGAUUAUUAAACCGUUUUACUAUUCCUUGCGAUUGCUGUACGCCGGGUUCACCCACUUGAAUUGCUACCCCGUGUUUUGUCAUCAACUUUUUAAAUUUGCCGUUAAAUUCCAAUCCAGCGUCUAUGAUAAACUUUGGCCAAGUCAGAGGCGACCUUUCGUAAAUUUGUAAAGGACAUCGAAGCUCUAACUCCUCAAGACCAGGAAAAGCUUUUUAAUUUAUACGAAGUACGCUUCGGGAAAGAAAUCGUCAUUACUUUGGGAAAUGCGAUUCUAAGUUUAUACACGCGUCUUUUAGGCAUUGCUGCACCCAUAGAAUUUUUAGGCUUCAACGUAGAUUUGAAAUCGGAAUAAGACCUAACCAAAGAUUUAAACGACUCAAUUAUAAGUCAAACGACGAGUCACUUCUUGAGCGAGCCUGUUACAAACAUGGAAUUUAUCUUUCACCCUUGGUAGCCACUUUAAUUACGACAAAAACAUUUAACCACCAAUAAAAUCAGUGUAUUAUAAAAUAAGAUGUCAACAGAACUACAGCAAACGACAGCACCGACUCCUGCCCUGAGUCCGGUAAAAAGCCAGGUACAGACGGUAACCAAAGUUAAAAAUCUAAAGCGAGUAGAACAGGGGAAACGCCUAGCCGAACACAAUAAAAAGAUGAAACAGCAACUGGCCAAGAUGAUAUUAGGCGAGUCCGAAGCCGAAAUAAACUCGGAAAAUAAAAUUUAUAAAACCGUUUCGGAAAAUAGAGAUUCAAUUUUAGGCGGCUUGGCAGUUGGGACACUUGCAUUAUUUUUCAUUUAAAAAAAACAAGUCAACGCCUGCAAAAGCUCAAAUGACUCAAGCAACAUCAAAAGUUCAAACGACUGUACCAGCACCCGAAAUUUAAGACUAAGAAAUUUUAGACAUGGAAUAAAUUUUUAAAAUUAAGUUUAAAAAACCUAUAUAUUAAGAAUGAGUAACGCUAAAGCUAUAGACGUAAAUGGCAUCGCCAAUACGGUUUACCACGGCGCCAUAGUCAGCCUAAUCUCCAUGGGUUAUGCCAUGCUGAGCAAUAAGCUAUUUAAAAUUAAACCGCCAGAUUUAAAUAAAUUAUCGGUCGAAGACGCGAUUAAAUUCACGGCAGUGUCAAGCGGUGCAUUAUAUAGCCACGCAGGGCUGGCUCGUAUCGCAGGGCAUCUUGCCGGCGAGUUUACCCACCACUUAAAGUCAAAAUAAUAACCGGUUUAUUUUAAAGUAAAAGUAUUAUGAUGGCAGAAGGCGGAUUUGACACAGUAGAAAUUCAAACUGUUAGACAGGAAAAGCAAAUCAAGACGAUUCGCAAGACCUGGCCUUAUUUAAUACAACGCAAACGGAAACGCCGUUUUGAAGAAGAGGGGUUAUCUUUACCGUUGCUCCAGAUGUACCUUUUACUGUUGCUCCAGAUGAGGAACGAGAGACUUUUGAAACUUUAGAUAUUGAAAAUCGAUACGAUAAAUUAGUUAAAGAUGUAGACCCCCUACGCGAAACAGACCUUGCAAGACAAGUCAGGCUAAUGGAACUUAAACGGUUGUUUGUUGAAGAUUAAGUGGAUGAUUUCUAUGACGCUAUUGAAAAAGAAACUGGUUACGAGCCGUUAAAUAGAGAUCCAAAAAUAUUUAAUCUACUUUAAAGAUCGUCUGUACGUCAAGUGUGAAGGUAAAAAGUUCUCCUUACGUAUGAAAAAGACAAUAGUCGAUUUCUUAGUCUAGAGACAAUCAGGAAUAAAACAAACGUAGAUUUCAUAAGACGUGCCUUAGGUUUCCAAGACUACGUAACCGAUAAAACAAAAGCAGAAAAGAAGAAAUUGGUCGAAAACUCGCGCAAUUGCACCCCAAAGGCAUAGAAUUAAUAGAACUACCCCAAGAAGCCGAAGGCGCCAAAUAUAAAUCAGGCGAGACUACAAAAUUUAAAGGCGUUUUUGCAUAUUGUAACAAAUCUUGAGAUUGGUUAAUCGAUUGUUCCAGGUCAGGCUCCGAGUUUAUUAAAGACUCUACUAUGGUAAUAAACUACCUUUGAGCGUCUUAUCCGGUAUCAUGGGUUAAAGCGCAGUUCUUUGUUUGAGCCUGAGCUCCAAGUAACGCGUAAAACGUAAGCUCGAAUCGACUCGUUUACCUUUGUUAUUCCCACGCCUGUCAAGCUUGAUUUCUUUGGUAUAAAAUCCCACCAAGCCAACGUGACUGUGUCCGACAGCGAAAUCCAAUUUACGGUGUAAGUACUCGCAUGACCAGAGCCUUUAGGCGGUUUAGCCCUACCAAGACCCAUGUAAGUGGAUCCUGCAUAUUUGCCAUUUGUCACAUGUAAGUCGUGCGCGUCGUAAUUUACCGGAAACCGGUAUUAUAAGCGUCGUCGUAAUAAUAAGCCGUGCCUAGUCCGUUUGAUACGUUGUCCCUCGUUUGUUUAAAAGAUUGAUUUUGAUAAUAGACAAGUGUCUAUAAAUUUGCGAUGAUUUUAAUUGUCGUCACUCGGAAUUGCCUUCCCGUAAAAUCUGUCCACGAAUUUCUUCAAUCUUUUGAAGCAGGUAAAUUUUUGUCGCGUUUGAUUCGGUUUGAUACCCAGUUAAAUCUGGAUACAUAUUUGGCUGAUUAUCUGUCGUCAUCUUUUAAAAUAUACGUGUUUUUAAAAUGUCUUCCUCGGCACGGUUAAAUAGUCUAACUGUAGUAAAAUUGUGCCGUCUUUGUUGUUUAUCAAUUCUUGUCGCCUUGUUUCUCAACAAAAAAAUGUAAUCUCGUUUUCUGACCGUUUAAAACUGACUUGGCGCUUUCACUCGGGUCUGAUGUGGUGCACAAUACAUACGAGGGCUGUUCGUUGAAGAAAUUAAAGUGAUUGUUUAUUUCACGGCAGUGUAUCCAAAGUUCGUCAAAGGGAUUUAUAUUUAUCUUUCCCUUGUAAAUCACGUUUUGCACGAGUCUACCUUUCGGCAGGUUUAAAAGCUUGCCGACUUUUACUCAACUUUAAUCUGAGUUUUAAAUCCGUUAUCAUAAAUGUCACCAAGUUUGACUUUUCGUGAAGUUUAAAACUCACGCCGGGAAAUGGGUUUAAAAUAAAAUCAAACUAAUCCACAUUGUAAAAUCCGGGUGGAAUGACUACACUUCCUUGUUCUCCAGCGUUCACAAAAUCUGCGGCGUUUCUCAUUUGUGCAGACGAUGCAUCACUGCAGCGUUUGAACCAGAGGCCGUAACUAAAAGUGUGGGCCUGGGUUCGGUUUGAACGGCUCUGAUGUGCCUAGUUCUGUCUUCGGUGUUGUCGCCUAAAAAUCCCUCUUGAAUAAAUAUUAAAGCGAUGCGACUGGCUUGUUCAUAAAUAUCAAUUUAUGCUCUGGUUACAAGUAUAAGAUAAAUUAGCGCGUCGUCUUUCUCUUUAUCUGUUGCUUCGGCUGAUAUUUCUCCUCUUGAACGUUGAUUGGUUAAUGUUUGUUUUUGAUUGAUUGUUGAGAGUGUCUGUCUCUAAUUCUGAGAACGGCACUGUUAGUUCAAGCGCUUUUAUAACAUCUUUGUUGAUAGAUGAUACCUCUAGCGUUGGAGGCAGUCCACGCCUUUGUCUAACUCCUUCGGGCCCCCUUGCUGCAGGACGCCAUUCUCCUUGCGUUUCCCAUUCAAUUUCGGUCGACUUUGUAUUGUUAAAAUAACCCGGGCAGAAGCUUACUUUUCUGACUUUAAUCUUUUUAUCGCCUUUUAAAUUGUCGAUUUGAUUAUCUAAUUUAAACAUCUGCUCGCUUUCGGUCAAAUAAAAAGUGUCAGUCUCCAUUUAUAGUAAAAGGGUUUUUAAAAAUCUUGCUCGGCAAGUUGAAAUUUGUUAACGGCGUUGUCCCAGUGUUUCUCGGAGACUUGAAACAGGUCUUUUGCGGCUUUUGUGGGUUCUUUUGUCACGUCUUGGUAACAAACGGCAAUUAAAGCUCGUAGCGGCUUGCCUCUGGAAUUUUUGCCUGCUAAUAUGUUGUUUAAUUUAUAUUCGACGAGUCCCGCCUGUUCGGCGGUUAAACUCUAUGUCAAGUCCAUGAAGAAUGUUACUUGUUUUCCAUUUUGGCUUUUUAUAGUCGAAACGUUGAUUAUAUUUGCCGCCUAUGUUUUCUGCCUCGUCCAAAUAAAUGCGACAUGAUAUAGGUUUUCCCGGCUGAAUUAUUUAAAACAGCAUCCAAAUUCAUUGACCUUCGAGCGAUUUCUCGAAGCCUGUUACUCCCAUGGUUGAUUUUCGAAACUUUGCGCAUUCAGUUUUGUUUGUGGACGUUCAAUCUUGCACUUUCAAGGAUUCAGUUUAGUAACAGUAUCAUUCAAUGUCACGAUGCACAAGCGUCACUCAAUUUCGCCCUGGGUGACUGGGAGGUGGAUUCCUACACAAAUUUUACUUUCAUAUCCGUCAAUGGGCACUCAUAUUCGCAAUUUCAGCUUUUCAAAGUAUACGUAAACCCUAAGUAUUGAAGAAAAGAUAGAGUUUCUGUAUAAUUAUGAUACGUGUACAGUUCCAGAGACAUCUUGAUCGCUGGCGAUAUUUGCCCUGGAUCUUUAUUAUUCCCAACCUUUUCAUUUAACUUAUACUUGUAUACUUUUGUUCUGUUAAAUGCUUAUGGGGAUAAUAUCGUGUUGUUAUUUUUUUUUAAGUUGAAAAUUUCGGAUUACAUGAAACCAAUUUUGUUCUUUCUUUUUAUAAAUCUUCAAGCAGGAAAUAUACGAAUUAUAAGAUGACUGCUGAAAAGAUUGAGUAUUUGGUCAUUGUUUUAACAAUCAUUUUAACCAGAUAAGAAGAAUUUGAUCAUUUCUUUUUCUCGUUUUAAGCAGAAAUAAAGACGUACAUUAUAGACAAGAGGUUCUCCCACCAA